RNAcentral lists this ribosomal RNA (165 nucleotides) under uncultured bacterium. RNAcentral describes it as "partial 16S ribosomal RNA". It matches the Rfam family "Bacterial small subunit ribosomal RNA", at positions 355 to 511 of the family's 1533-position model. The record is from RNAcentral.
UAGGGAAUCUUCCACAAUGGGCGGCAAGCCUGAUGGAGCAACACCGCGUGAGUGAAGAAGGGUUUCGGCUCGUAAAGCUCUGUUGUUAAAGAAGAACACGUAUGAGAGUAACUGUUCAUACGUUGACGGUAUUUAACCAGAAAGUCACGGCUAACUACGUGCUAG